CUAGAUUGCAACUAUAAAAACGAACAUACCCGAAGGCUUUUCAUUGAAAUACAUAAUUGAUCUCAUACACGGCUUACAUUUAUUAGAAAAGCAACAACUUAUGCACUUCAUACAUUAGAAAUAGUGAUAGGUGACAUGAGACCACAGACGACAACAUUAUAAACUUCAUACUAAUUCACUUUUCACUUUUCUGCCUUGGCUCCAAUCGUGUAGAUCGAAUCCUUGGAAUUGACAUCAUCAGUGUAUGCCGAGACAUUAGGCCUAGGCUCAAAAUCUUUAGUGUAAGAUUUCUCAUCCUUUGAAUUGACAUCAUCAGUGUAUGCCGAGACAUUAGGCCUAGGCUCAAAAUCUUUCGUAUAAGAUUUCUCAUCUGUGAGCUUAACGUCAUCGGUGUAUGCUGAGACAUUAGGUCUUGGCUCAAAAUCUUUCGUAUAAGAUUUCUCAUCUGUGACCUUAACGUCAUCGGUGUAUGCUGAGACAUUAGGUCUUGGCUCAAAAUCUUUCGUAUAUGAUUUCUCAUCUGUACGCUUAACAUCAUUAGUGUACGCUGAGACAUUAGGUCUUGGCUCAAAAUCUUUUGAAUAAGAUUUCUCAUGUGUGAGCUUAACGUUAACACUCGGUCUAUCCUCAAACUCUCUCACAAAAGCUUUAUGCUCUUUAAACUUGAGAUCAUCACUAUGAGCCAUGGUGCUAGCCCUUUGCUUAAUGUCUUUUGCAAAAGACUCCUCAUAUUUAGGUUUGACAUCGAAGAUUGAUGACUUACCCAAUGCAGUAUGACACCCAUUUCUCUCAUCCUUCACAACACCUUGCCAAUAUUCCCCUCCAUCUUUUCUUGCAUUGAUACCGUAAGCUAUCUGCAUUUCUCAGAAUUAAAAUCCCUAGUUAGAAAAUGAGCCAAGUAGAAUCUCAACUCCAAAUAAAUUGAUCAAAAUAAUGUUAUAUAACACAUAUCAACAAAAACAACUAGCUAGCUCAUAUAAAUUCGCACGUAGAUGAAACUUUCAUGCAUGUGCUAGAGAAACGUUAGUCAUAUAUAUAUGUUAAUGUGUAUUUACGAAAUUUAGUUCUCAUUUUUCACAAUAACUUAAUUUGAUUUUUGUCAGAAAUAGAAAAAAUGUACAUACCAGUGCGAGAGAGAGGAUGCUAGCUAUAACGUAGCUCAUUGCAAUAAUUUGAAUCUAAUCUGAAUCUCACUUUAUGAGUUGAGAAUAGAGAAAAUCUGCUUGCUAUUUAUAGGAAGAAAGUACGAAGACUAUAUAAUAACAAGUUGUGAGAGAAAGAAAGCAAGAAGACUCAAUCAUUGCAUAUGAUAAUAUAAUUAAACUUUGAUACAGAGAAACUAGAUAAAGCAAUUAUUAGAUAUUGGGAGCUGGAGGUCCAUCUUUGUCAUCUAAAUUAUAUAUGCAAAAUAAUAUAGGGUCGGGUUUCUGAUUAUGACAUUGUUUUUCCUUUAAUAUUGUUGUUAUGUCUUGAAUUUUCCGCUUCACACUUCGGGGGUCUCGCUGUAAUCUGGGUGUUUUAUCUCAAUACUAUAUACAAAACCGAUCACCUACCCACCGUGGGCAAACAUAACGUGCCCACCACUGAUGUGGCAAUGUUAAUUAGGAAGGAGAAUUAAUAAAUCUUACUCUAAUUAAAAUUAUCUUACUCUAAUUACAAUUGCCACAUCAGUGAUGGGCACGUUAUGUUUGCCCACGGUGGGUAGGUGAUCGUCUCUGAUAUAUAUUAUUAUUAUUAUUAUUAUUAUUAUUAUUAUUAUUAUUAUUAUUAUUAUUAUUAUUAUUAUUAUUAUUAUUAUUAUUAUUAUUAUUAUUAUUAUUAUUAUUAUUUUCUCCGUCCCAUAAAUUUUGACACGUAUUCAUUUUUGGAUCGUCCCACGAAUCUUGACACAUUUUCUAAAUAAGGUAAUAAUUAAUCCAAAAAUAUUACAUUCUCUCUCCUACUUUUAUCACUUUAUUACAUUCAUUCUCCUAGCUACUUUUUCACUUUUAUACUUUAUUUUCUACGCACUUAAAACAUUAAUCUACAAUUCUUUAAUUUUCGUGUCGUAACCAAACGUAUCAAGAUUCAUGGAACGAAGGGAGUACUAUGUCAAGAUCCGUGUCCACCAAUCAACUUCUCAUUUGGUGGUCGGCACGGAAACUAAAAAAACUGAAAAAUGUGGUGUAAAAGUGGUGUAACAGACUAAAAGGAUAGUGUUAUUUUAUGUGGUUACUUUUACUAAUUUUUCACUAGCUAUUUAACAUUAUUUUCAUGCCUUGACUUAAAGUUUUUUUUUAUAUAUACGCUAUCUCUUUCUUCUUCUUUUUUACUCUUUAAUUAAAUAAACUAAAAACUUAAACAUAAUUAAAAUGAAAACAAGAAAAUAAUUUUUUCAGAAAAUAAAUAAAUUGAAAAUUCGAAAAUAAAUAAAUAAAUAAACAGGAAAUUCGAAAAUAAAUAAAUAAAUAAACUAUAAAUUCAGAAAAUAAAUAAAUAAAUAAACUGGAAAUAAAUUUUUCAGAAAAUAAAUAAACUAAAAAUUAAAAAAUAUAUAAAUAAAUAAACUAAAAAUUCAAAAAUAAAUAAAUAAAUAAACUGAAAAUUCAGAAAAUAAAUAAAUAAAUAAAAUGGAUGUUGGGUCCCCUGAGGGUUGAAAUGACAUGUGUAUGGGGGGGAGGGGAAUACACCUGUAAGCUAUUUUCGAAACAAGGUUACUUAAAACCGACACCUUUGUUCUGAAAGAUAGUUUGAUUGAUUUGAAAAUGCAAGCUUCAGAUGACAAGGGGUGGCGACUGAUACUGAAACCAAGGUUCAGUGGGUGACUUCAGUUAAUUGAUUUGGUCAAUUAACUUCAAUCCAAGUAAGGCUUCAAUCGUAAGUAAAACAGAGUAGAAUUACUUGUUUAACCGACUAUCAAAAGAUUGAUCAGUUAAACUUAUAAUUCUAGCAACGGAAUAUUAAACUUAGUGAAAUACUCCCUCCGUCCACCAAUUAAAGGCCUAGGGGAAAAAACACGGGUUUUAAGAAAAAGUGUAUUUUUAUUAGUUGAGUGGAGAAAGGGUCCCACUUUUUAAGAAAAAAUGUAUUUUUAUUAGUUGAGUGGAGAAAUGGUCCCACUUUUUUGUAAAGAAUCUUUGACUUUUUUGAUUAAAUAAUGAAUAAAAACUUACCAAAAAUAGGUAGGCCUUGUUUUUGUGGACGUCCCAAAAAGGCAAGUAGGCCUUGAACUGGUGGACGGAGGGAGUAGCAUUGAAAGAUUUUCUUCACAGAGAAUCCCUUAGUUACUCUUUUCAGUUAAUCAGUAUUAGAGAAACNAACCCUAAUGUAGCAAAACCUUUUAGUCAUUAGAAAUUUUAACUGUACAGAUAAAAAUAUGAAAAUAAUAGUAUUUCUGACUAAAAUACUCUUUUAAUGUGUAACAGUGUAAAAUACACUAUUACACACUUGUUAGAAGCAAAAAAGUGCGUAACAGUGUAAAAUACACUAUUACACGAUUUUCGCGAUUAUUAUACUACGAUUUUUGAAAAAGUGUGUAAUAAUGUAUUUACACGGUUACACACUUUUUCACAAUUACACAAAAAAGUGUGUAACAAUAUUAAGAGUAUAAUUAUACAUUUACACUAAAAAAGACUAGUUUUUUCAUACUUUUAUUUGGGUGAACAUUUUUUCCUUUUCUUAUACAAAAAGAUAUAAUUGGCCCAUUAACUCUAUCAUUUGAAAAUAUUAAGCCCUUUUAUGGAGUAAAAUUUAUACCUUUCCUGGGCGACAGCCUUAUCUGCGGUCAAGAAAGUAGAUUUCCAGCCACGGCCUAUAGGGGAGGAAGGGUCGUCAUCCUCCCCCAAAACUCGUGUGUAAAUCACGCCGUGCUUCUCCAACUUGUGCACGAAGUCUGAGUGCUUCUCCUUCAUUCUUUCGUAUAUGAUGUGACUCGGGACUAUCGGCGUUUCUCCGCCCGACUCGGGCUCUACUUCGCAGAAGAAGAACAAUUUUGUCGGGUACUUUUGCACCUUGUGAUCCAGAUUAACAAAAUCAAUCAACUAAUCCCAUCCCAUUCAAAUAAUCACUUCUUUUACACAGAUUAAAAAAAUUCUGAUGUUGUUUCUCGAGCGAGGAUGGCGAAAGAAACAUGUUUUCUGAAUACUCUUUGAUAUAGAAAAGAAGUAAACAUAUAUAAUAUGCAAAGUUCGUGAUAUUUAAAAAUUAAAAUUAAAAUUAAGGUCAUGAAUAAAAAAAAAAUCAAUAAUUGGGAUCAUAAACAAGUAUUACACACGAGCAAGAAAAGAGAAGAAUUGAUACCUGAGCCAUUUCAUGGUGAAAAGGGAUCUUCUGAUCAGGCGGGGAUUCGUUAGCAGUGAAAAUACGGCCGACGACGUUAGUUCUGGGGGCGGCGCCGCCGACGUACGGCAGCUCCUCGUACCCGAACGCCUCCACGACGUCGUUGAAGUCUGAAGCGGUAGCUAAGGAAUCAAAACCACGAAACAGAAUAGCGCCGUGUUUGUGCAGAAGCGAGUCCAGCCAUGGCCUCUGCUCCUUCACGCCCGCCGUCAAAGAGGACGCACCGCCCGCCGCUGCCGGAGAUAACACGGCGGGGAAAGUAACUCCGCCAUGGCUUUUUUGAUGUGGGAUCUUGGUUUCAGCGAAGAUGCUAGAGUUCGUAGGCAUUUUGUGAUUUUGUUCUUUGAAUUUUGGAUGAUUAGUUUGGCAAUUAUUGAUUAUAUAUAUAUAUAUAUAUAUAUAUAUAUAUAUAGUAAGGAAGANNNNNNNNNNNNNNNNNNNNNNNNNNNNNNNNNNNNNNNNNNNNNNNNNNNNNNNNNNNNNNNNNNNNNNNNNNNNNNNNNNNNNNNNNNNNNNNNNNNNNNNNNNNNNNNNNNNNNNNNNNNNNNNNNNNNNNNNNNNNNNNNNNNNNNNNNNNNNNNNNNNNNNNNNNNNNNNNNNNNNNNNNNNNNNNNNNNNNNNNNNNNNNNNNNNNNNNNNNNNNNNNNNNNNNNNNNNNNNNNNNNNNNNNNNNNNNNNNNNNNNNNNNNNNNNNNNNNNNNNNNNNNNNNNNNNNNNNNNNNNNNNNNNNNNNNNNNNNNNNNNNNNNNNNNNNNNNNNNNNNNNNNNNNNNNNNNNNNNNNNNNNNNNNNNNNNNNNNNNNNNNNNNNNNNNNNNNNNNNNNNNNNNNNNNNNNNNNNNNNNNNNNNNNNNNNNNNNNNNNNNNNNNNNNNNNNNNNNNNNNNNNNNNNNNNNNNNNNNNNNNNNNNNNNNNNNNNNNNNNNNNNNNNNNNNNNNNNNNNNNNNNNNNNNNNNNNNNNNNNNNNNNNNNNNNNNNNNNNNNNNNNNNNNNNNNNNNNNNNNNNNNNNNNNNNNNNNNNNNNNNNNNNNNNNNNNNNNNNNNNNNNNNNNNNNNNNNNNNNNNNNNNNNNNNNNNNNNNNNNNNNNNNNNNNNNNNNNNNNNNNNNNNNNNNNNNNNNNNNNNNNNNNNNNNNNNNNNNNNNNNNNNNNNNNNNNNNNNNNNNNNNNNNNNNNNNNNNNNNNNNNNNNNNNNNNNNNNNNNNNNNNNNNNNNNNNNNNNNNNNNNNNNNNNNNNNNNNNNNNNNNNNNNNNNNNNNNNNNNNNNNNNNNNNNNNNNNNNNNNNNNNNNNNNNNNNNNNNNNNNNNNNNNNNNNNNNNNNNNNNNNNNNNNNNNNNNNNNNNNNNNNNNNNNNNNNNNNNNNNNNNNNNNNNNNNNNNNNNNNNNNNNNNNNNNNNNNNNNNNNNNNNNNNNNNNNNNNNNNNNNNNNNNNNNNNNNNNNNNNNNNNNNNNNNNNNNNNNNNNNNNNNNNNNNNNNNNNCCGCUACGUUUGCUUCAAGCAUUUGUGCAAUCGUAAGGAAACUCAGUGGGAUCGAACAACUAACGUCGUUCAUGCCGAUGACCAAGUGUGGCAAGAACUCUUCAAGGUUAGAAAACGCAUAAUACUCUUUCUAUUAAACCUUGUUGCAAAUAUCAAUAAAUCAAUCAAAUAACAUUAUUCCAUUAUUUGCUAUCAUCAUAGGAAAAUGCAUUCUUCCGAGCCUAUUAUCAUAACGGUGAUCCGGAGUACCUACAGAUGUGCAACUUGUUUGGCCUCUACGACGUAAAAAAAGAGUUGUCUCAUACGGUAAUCGUUAUUGAAGACUCGUCAACUGUGAAGAAGCCAUCCCACCAUACUAUCAACGGCGAAUACUGGAGUGAAGAUGAGGUAACAUCUCCUAUCUUAAAACCAAAACCAGUGGCCAAACCAGUGGCCGCUAGGAACAUCUUCCCAGACGAUGCUUGUUCAAGCGCGACAGCUUCUUUCCACAAUAAGCUCCCAUGGAAUGCAUUCAAAAAUAAGCUCCGUCGGCCAACGAAAACGAAAGAUGACCAGAAUCGCGAUGGCGGUUAUGGUGGAAGUUCGUGCGCGUCGUCCUCUCCUUUCAAAUAGAGUUAUUUUGCCGCUAUCUCUUCCAUUGUUUUGCCGUCCUGCUCUUAUAUUUCACCUUCAUGUUUGAUUAUUAUGUUUUGACCUUAUUUUUGGCGUCUCCAUGAGCUAAUAGGUUUUUAUGUUUUCUAUUGAAGUACCCUACUGUUUUCCCUCUAAUAAUUGGUUGGACUCAUGUUUUUUUACAUGUUAUGUGCACUCAAUAAUUGGUCGAACUAUAAAUUAGAUACAAAUGAAAAUCAACCAAUGAAAUAAUGACAUAUAUGGAUAAUAAAUUUUCUGCAAUCUACUGAGCAUGCAAAUAAAAUUUCUGCAAAAUAAACACAUUAUCAUUCAAAACUCCAUAAAACGAAUUACAAAAUAGCAUUUGAAUCUCCAUGAAACAAAGUAUGAAAUAACUUUCAAAUCUCCAUGAAACAAGGUACAAAAUAACAUGAUCGGUCUCCAUGAAACAAAGUACCAACAACGGCAUAAGCUUAAAGGGCCAACUAGUACCCAACAUAAACCUAAACAAUCUUGCAACAAGUUCCAAAAUAUUCUUUGAACAUGAUAUGAGAAACUGUCAGAUUUCAAAAUGCAAAAGAAGAGCACCAAAACAUUCCUUGCACGAAGGUGACUUACUUAUGCUUCAAAGCAAGCAAGUAGUGCACGUAGUCUUCCUUCGCGUCAUCCGGGAGGCUUGAGAACACAUCCAGACGCUCGACCUCCUUUGCAAGCAAAUCUGUCAACUCAAACUUUUCCAUCUUUGACAGCCCCGGAAUAGCAGACAAUUGAGCGAAGACUUCUUUUCUUGCCUUUGAUAUAUCGUAGUCGUAACCCAUUUUACUUGAUAUUGUAUCAAGUCUAGUUUCGGUCCCCCGGUUAAUUUCAUGUAGGGCCUCGAAGAAUCUGUCGUCAAAGGUGGCACUGCGGCGCCGCUUCUUGCCGCAACCCCGCACUUCCUUCUCAGCCGUAACACUCUCUUCAUGAACUUGGGUGUGGCUUACAUUGUCACCCGCUUCGCCAUUCUCGAAGAGAUCUUCAAGUGAGACGCGGUAAUCAUCAUCGGCGUUCGGUUGGCUAGUAUCCAAUUUUCGAUACAUCUCAUGGGACGCCUCCAUGAGAUCCUCCGCCUCAUCGCCCGUAGCUCUAUCUUUGCCGUAAUAUUAUCUUCCAAUCCUCAAGUAGAGGUCCAACUUUUCUUGCGAUAGUUGCUCACGCUAUUAUCGACUACAUUACAUUUAAAGCUUAACAAAACAUGUAAAACCAGGCUGCAAUAAGCAAUGUAAAUGGACUUACCCUCACAAAGUUCUCCCAUUGUUCAUCAUCGCAAUCAAUCAUGUGCUUUCCAUCCACAUUGAAACCAACUCCACUGGUCUUGAGGAUGUUCCACAAUGAAUAGUAAGUCUUUUUCCACGUUGUUACCUUCGAGUUUAUGUGAGGCAUCCCUUUCAAAUCGGUGGUCGGAAAGUCCUUCCUCAUAGCCUCCUCUAACUUGCUCAAAUAACCGGCUCGAAAUCCGUUGUCGGAUUUCCAUCCUUGCGCAACGAGCUCCUUCAAUGCAGCGAUUAGCACUUCUUCUUCGCGUGUAGACCAACUGCGGCGCUUCUGGGUCGUCUUGUUAACACGGCCAGAAAGCGUUGUUCCAUUGCUACCUGAACAACCAUAAAAAGAAAAACACCAGCAAUGUGUUUCAUGUGUUGCUGUAUACUUAUUCCAGACCACCAGCUUUGUAUUUCAUAUUAUUUAACAUCCGUUUAUGGCAUUUCAUAUUAUUAAAAAUCCCGACCAACACGUUUUAUACCAGUCCAAAAUACGAUCAUAUACUCUAGCAAAAUAAUUAUGUUUUGCGGUCGGCGCUAGCAAGUAGCAAGUAUCUAAAUAUCACAGCCACUAAAACGGAUAGACGAAUAUUAGCAAAACCAAGAGCAGAACAUGAUAUAAACACAGAUCGCAUAAAGACUAAAAAAUAUAUUUUCAUCAAGACGAAGACUCAUAUACGACGUGAAUAUUGUUAAAAAACCAUUGGAUAUAGUUCUAAGGAGUCGCGACAUGGGAGAAGAAUGACCUACCUUGAGUUGCAGAACUCAUUAUCGGCAAGUUCAGAUUGCUUUCUUGCCCUUUCUAUGGAGAGAGACCUUUCACCUUCUGCGCAGAAGAGUUCUUGGCGGGUGAAGAAUGUUUUCGGAGAAUAGGGAUUAGUGGGUGUAAUGGUGUAAAGCAGAGGACAAGGUUGGAAUUUCGAAAAUUAGAAGGGGACAUUUUUGUCCAUUAUUAACUUUAUCUGACCUAGUACUAUGAAUACCAAACAGAAUUCAUGAUUAGUUAAAUGUAAAAGCAAACAUCCAAUUAAUAUUAAUAACACAGUGUAAUCCACACUAAUUAUCUAGUUUAAUAUUAUACUAGCUAAUCCAUUACAUAAAACCAAACGAGCCCUAAACAUUUGAUCUCAAUACGUAAAUAAAACAUAAAUCAGCAAGCUCCGACUUUAUUUUUGUUGGCCUUGUUUGUUGUGGUGUUUAACGCUGUAUUAGCAUAUUAAUAUGCUGAGAAACGAUCAUUUGGUGCCUUAUUAACACAGACGGCCCAGCAUUAUGCAAGGGCCCGGGCCUCUUUAAAUAGAUAAAUCUCGUUUAGGAAUAUGCCACCCCCUUUGAUACGCAAACCAUCAUAAUUAUCUUGGAUUCAAAUCUCAUUUUUGCCCUUAAAUUCAAAUAUUAUCAGCCUUAUGUGUUGAUUAUUUCUACUCAUUAUUCUCUACAAAAAAACGUUGUUGUUCUCGCCGACCGACAAAGAAUUAUGCGGAAAUUUUGCUGUGCAAUACCAAGAAUAAUUUUGACUACGAAAUCGACAACACGGUAUGUGCGGUUAAUCGUUUUUGCCUAUCGAACCUGAUUUUGAUUUUUAUUUGAGAAUGUUAGAGCAGUAGAAACGAUUGAAUCUGUUAGGUCUUUUUUCGAAAAAAAGUGUAUGUCAUCUUUAUUAAAAUCUUAAGUUCUAAAGAGUUAUAAUCCACCUUAAUCAAGUGUUUGGUUUGCAUGAUGGAGCCCGUGAUUAAUAACUCGGCCUGCAUCUAAUCACCCAAAUGAGUGAUUGUUUAUCAUCCCAAAGUUGGAUGGAUAUUAUUUAAUCACCCCCUCCAAUCCUAUCACUCUUAUCAAUCUUAUCUAUCCUAUCCAACAAACCAAACGCCUCCAAGUAGUAUAUUUUUAUCAUGUCAUCUUAUAUCUAUGACAUUUUAGAUACUACUCGUAUAUAUGAUUAGUGAAACCAAAGCUUUUACAAGCAAAAAGAACAAAGCUACAUAUAUUAAUGACUUAUAUGUUUAAUAAAAAUUUCUGGCAAAUAUUAACUUGUGUGUACAUGCAAUGUACGAUGCAUUCAUCCUACUUAAAUUAAUUAACUAUACAAAUUAAUUAUUAUUUUUUAUAUUUACAGCAAGAGUCUCCAGUAUUUGGAUGUCCCCAAAUUAACGACCACUAAAAAUAAGGUUAUAUAUAGUUCACUAGAAAGCAACAACGUGAUAGAAUCUAGAGUAAUCGAUGUAUCAUAUUCAUAUAUAUGUGUUGAUGAAGAUUUAUCUAUCAAAAUAAGAAACUAAGGUUUUAUAUGAAAUGAUUAACCUAGGCAACACGUAUGAUGCCCAUAUAUUCAUUUAUAUAAGUGCAGCAUGAGUCACGUUAAGAUUGUAAUUGCCACUGUGUGAUGAUAUGGUGUUCCUCUAUAUAUAGAAAUCGAUCACCUACCCACCGUGGGCAAACAUAAUGUGCCAACCACUGAUGUGGCAAUUUUAAUUUGGAAAGAGUAUUAACGACCACCUCAUGGAAAAAUAUAUUCUAGCUAGCUUUUGAAACGAGCUUGUUCUGCUAGAGUUUUUCACUUUCUAGUAUAUUUUUUCUUUCUUUUGAAUUUUGAGAGUUUUUUUUUUUUUGGUUGUUGUUGUUGGUUGGAGAUUUAAGGAUUUGGAUUAGUAGGUCACCUUAUAAAGAAAAAGAAUAUCAUUAAGCUACAAUUUGGAUUAAUUGUCAACUCCAUCUUUAUCAUGAAUCAUAUGGGUUCUUUUCUUUCCUUUAACAUAAUUAAUUAACGAUAGCUUAAAGUUUUGGAUUAAUUGACAACUGCAUCUUUAUCAUGAAUCAUAUGAAUUAUUUUCCCUCCUUAAACAUAAUAAUUCACGAUAUGUGAUGACAUUAAUAUAAUUCACACCUCACUCCCCUGCCGGCACCACUAAUAUUCACAAAAACAUCCAGACAAGUCUCUAUUUGUUCUUCCGCAUAUAUUCUAAAAUAUGCAUGAAUAAUUAAAUUAAUAAUUUCAAAAAGUCAUACUAGGUUUUUUAUGUACUUAGACAUAGUUAAUCUUUUAAACAACAUAUGAAUUAUGUAUUAAUUUAGGCUAAGACUAAAUAUGAUAUUUAGCCAAAUUAUAAAUUCUGGAAUCAACCAAUUAUAAGGUCAUAUAUAAAUAUUAUUAUAUUUAACUAACUUCAUUUAAGACUACCUAUAAUUAUACUCCCUCCGUCCCAGCUUUUUGUAUCCACUUUUAGUAGGGAUACAAAAAGCUGGGACAGAGGGAGUAUAUUUUAGAGAAUAUAUAUAUAUAUAUAUAUAUAUAUAUAUAUAUAGGGUAGGGUUAAUAUAAAAACCCCCUCUUAAGAUGAAAACUAGGAACCAAUUUAAAACCAUUGAUUUAAAUAAAAUAGAGGGCUGAGAUUAAACUACAGAUGCACAAUUUCGAUUGCAUAGAUGCACAGUUUCAAUUGCAUGGAUGCACAAUUUCGAUUUGCUUGAGUAUUUUGCAUUGUUGGUUUCAAUUGCAUAAAUUGCAUAUUUUUAAUUGCACAGUAAAAUAUAAUAGAUGCACAGUUUCUUUUGUUGACUAAAUCCUAACCAUUAGAUCUAAUAUUUAAAAGGUUAAGAUUAGCUUCCUAGUUCUCAUUUUAACAAAGGUUUUAUUAGAACAUCUUCCUAUAUAUAUAUAUACAUAGAAAUAAAUAAUAAAUAAGACAUACAUAUAUACAAUAACGAAUUAAAAAUAUUUAUAAAAUUAUUNGUAUAAUUUAGUAUUUUUUUACGUAAAAAAAUAAAAUAAUAUAAUAUAUAUAUAUAUAGGGUAGGGUUAAUAUAAAAACCUACUACUUAAGAUGAAAACUAGGAACCAAUUUAAAACCAUUGAUUUAAAUAAAAUAGAGGGCUGUGAUUAAACUACAGAUGCACAAUUUCGAUUGCAUAGAUGCACAGUUUCAAUUGCAUAGAUGCACAAUUUCGAUUUGCUUGAGUAUUUUGCAUUGUUGGUUUCAAUUGCAUAAAUUGCAUAUUUUUAAUUGCACAGUAAAAUAUAAUAGAUGCACAGUUUCUUUUGUUGACUAAAUCCUAACCAUUGGAUCUAAUAUUUAAAAGGUCAAGAUUAAGUUCCUAGUUCUCAUUUUAACAGAGGUUUUUAUUAGAACCUCUUCCUAUAUAUAUAUAUAUAUAUAUAUAUAUAUAUUAAUUUAAUAGUAGUGUUAAUUGUUUUUAUAAAUUUAUUUAUCUUUAAAUUCAUAAUAAAAAGUAAUAUUAAUACUCCCCUAAUAAAAUUCAAAUAAUUGUAAUGCCACAUAAAUUAACCACACAAAAGUUUUCCCAAUUAAUAAAGAUGAAAAAAAUAGCUUGGUUGAAACUUAUAAAAUGAGAGAGAGAGAGAGAGUAAUAUAUAUCAAAUUAAAGUUUGUGUCAUGAUCUUUAAUUGGAUAUACAAAGGGAUUCACCAUAAUAAAAAAUUGUAUUAUGAAAAGGUAAAACAAAUGUUAAAAAAUAAAAAUAAAAAUAAAAUAAAAAAGAAUUAAAAAUAAAUUUAUUCAAAAAAAGAUGAGAGUUGAGAGAUUUUUUUUAAUUUAAAAAUAAAUAAAUUAAAAGUUUUACAUUUUAAAUCAAAUAUUUACAUAAAAAUAUAUCAAAUUAAAGCUUUUAUCGUGAUCUUUUAAUGUGAUAUGCAUAUUAAAUAUUUUAUAAUUAGUCGAAUUUCACUAUUUUAGAAAGAAAUAAAGUAAAAAAAAAGAUAAAUAAAAAGAAAAUAAAAAAGGAAAUAUGUAAUUUAUAAAUAAACCUUUAAUUUUAUUAUAACUACAAAAUUAUUACUUAAUUUUGAAAUCAAUUUAAAAUUGAUGACAAAUUGAAAUCUUAAAUUUGUAAUAAUAGAUAUACAGUGAUUUUGACAAAGCGUAAAAAUUAAAAUAGAUAAUUAGAGGAAAAAUUCUAAUCAACGUCCCACGGCCACGUCCAAUAUAAUAAUAUUUUAUUAUUAAAAAUCAAAUUAAAAAUUCGAGUAUCAACAUCCAUUCCUCGGUACAGCAUGGUGAAUUACACAGGUCGCAUUCAUUAUAUCAGAUCAAUUCACCACAGUUAAAUUUGCAUACGGCUUUCAUCAAAUUAAUUAACUUCCGAUUGAUUUUUCUUUCUAUCACACUGAGUGGUGGGGAUGGGGACACUAUUUGAAAAUGGGGCGUUAACCAUAAAAAAAUCAAUCAUUAAAAAUGAUAAAUCGGUCAUUAGCUAGAAAAUCUAACGAUUGAAUUAACGAUCAAUUUGAAGCAAAUGGAUCUCAUAGCUCUCAUAGUACUCUCUCUUUCUUCUCUCACUUUCAAUUUGAUAGCCUUGAGGUUUAAGGAAAGAGAAGAAUCCAUGUGAUUCAUGAUAAAGAUGAAGUUGUCAAUUAAUUCAAAACUUUAAGCUAUCGUUAAUUAAUUAUGUUAAAAGGAAAGAAAAGAACCCAUAUGAUUCAUGAUAAAGAUGGAGUUGAUAGACAAUUAAUCCAAACUUUGUAGCUAAUUAAUGAUAUUCUUUUACUUCAUAAGGUGACCUACUAAUCCAAAUUCUUAAAUCUCCAACCAACCAACCUAAAAAACUCAAAAUUCAGAAGAAAAAAAAAACUCUAGCAGAAUGAGCUCGUUUCAAAAGCUAGCUACAAUAUAUACUUUUCCAUUGCUUGUCACGUUAUUUUCCCAAUAAUGAGAUAAAAAUUCUUUCGGCUAUCUAUCUUCCUACAACAAAAAUCGAGUUAUUAUUUAAACAAAUAAUUAAAAAUUGUAUCCAAUAUCAUAAUUCGCUCAUCAAAUAUGUGAAUAUAUAUUUUGGCAAUUAAUCCCAAAGAUUAUUUGCUAUUGCAUGCUUGGUCUCUCUCCCUCUUUUUUUUUUUCCUUUUUUUUUUUCACUUGUUAGCUGUUAUCUGUAAAUUAACAGGAUCAAAUCAGAACUUAGAGAAAAAGUUCACAUAUAAUAUAUUAAUAUGCAGUGUAUUUUAGUAUUUUCGAUGAUACUUUAAUUACUUAUACAAAAUCUUAAUUAUUGUUUUGGGUAUAUAUGGAGGAACACGAUAUCAUCACACAGUGGCAAUUACAAUCUUAACGUGACUCAUUCUGCACUUAUAUAAAUGAAUAUAUGGGCCCUUUGAUUGCGUCCUGCUUUCUUGGGUUUUUUAAGGUUUUUUGUUUUGCAAUAAAAUCGUAUUUUAAUAAAUGAAUAUAUGGGCAUCAUACGUGUUGCCUUGGUUAAUCAUUUCAUAUUAUAAAACCUUAGUUUUUUGUUUUGAUAGAUAAAUCUUCAUCAACAUGUAUAUGAUACAUCCAUUACUCGAGAUUCUAUCACGUUGUUGCUAUCUAGUGAACUAUAACCUCAUUUUUAGUGGUCGUUUGGGGACAUCCAAAUACUGGAGACUCUCUCUGUAAAUAUUGCACGUACUCACAAGUUAAUAUUUGCCAUAAAUUUUUGUUAAACAUAUGACUAUGAGUCAAUUAAGAUGGGUGACCAACUGGAAAGUUCGUCUAACGUAUACAAUUAAGUUAAAAAUAUAGUAUAAAUACAGAAAUACUUGUGAGCUAGGUAUAAAUAAAUAAAAUACCGCCGGCAACCACCGGCGGUGACGUCUGACAAUAGCGCCACCGCCGUCCGAUCAACAUUACCAGCAGCGAUGCUCCCGCUACUAAUCACCAACGGCGGAGGCGCCGGUAAAACUCCGGUAAAAGAUCACCGCUCACCGACGAUCUUUAGCGGCAGCGGCGCCGUUAAUUACCAGCGGCCGUCUUUUACCGCCGGUACUAUUGAAGUCAUCGACGAGCGAAAUACCGGUGGCGAGAGGCCGUUGGCAACCAUUUUUCCGGCGGUAUAUGUAUGAUUACCGGCGGCAUUGAGCGUGUUUUUUGUAGUGCUCGUAGUAUCUAAAAUGUCUUUGAUGCAUCAUAACAUGAUAAAAAUAUACUUAUAUUGCCGUCGGUAAUCAGCGUAUUUUUUGUAGUGCUCUUAGUAUCUAAAAUGUCUUUGAUGUAUCGUAACAUGAUAAAAAUAUACUUAAUAUUAGUUUAUAUUAUAACGCUCUAGAACAUAAGAUUUUAAUAAGUCGAUCGGAUCGUGAGUGUUAUUAAUACAUGCAUCAAAGCUUUCUCAGCUUCAUUCAUUCUCUCUCUUCUUGUGGUAAGUAAUUAAUUAAUAAUGUUUCUCUCUCUAGCCCACCUCUCUAAUUUCAUAAUAUUUUCUUCAAUAAUUGUUAACAAAACUUUCAUGUGUUGUUUCAGUAUGGCUAUUUUUGUGAUGCACGAAAAGAUCUAGGAGAGCUGUAGAAGGCUGUAAUGGAUGAAGAAACUAUGCCUGACACAAUAAAAAAUCCUAGCUUACGUUCUAUUUUUGCACAUGAUCCAACCAUCAACUAUAUUACAAUCCUUUAAGAGGUGAAGAGAGGUGUCUAAUAGAUCAAGAAAGGGACCUAUAUAUAAGCAUAUGGAAUAAAUAUAGUACAAAAUUCAAAAAUACUGAUAAAAUUCGAAAAUUCUUGUCGGCCACUAUUCACUAUUGCGUGUGAUUUUCUUGUUUCGGCCAUAUCUCCGUCGUACGAACUCCGAUUGGCGAUCCGUUUACGCUCAUGAACUCGUAUUGAGAUGAUCUACAACUUCUAUUUCAGACCAUUCUUCCAAAUUCGGCUUCAAUAUUUCUAAAAUUUCCAUCAAAGUUCGAGUAAGUAUCAUAUUUCUCAAGAUAUAUAAAACAAUAUAAACACGAAACAACUAUCCAACACUCAAUUUCUUAUAAAAUUGACAUCGUAUGAACAUUAAAAUGCAUAGAAACAUGAGUGUUAUCAAACCUUAAUUAUUUAAAGUUUAUAAAAUUCACAAUUUAUACUUUGUCUUUCAAUUAAUAUAGUCAAAUGUAGAAUAAAUAAUGCCAGAAUUGAACAAUUGUAUAUAAUUUAUAUUUUCCAAAUAAAAAUAAUCACAUUUUCUAAAUGUGUAAUAAAGGGGACAAUCAAGGUGGGACGGAUGGGAUAGAUCCAGUGCCCCACAAUUUUAUAUGUGUCACUAUGUCAUGCUUAUAUCUAUUAUUUUAAUAAUAUUUUUUAUAAAAAUAAAAUUUAUUACUAUAAUACUAUGAAUUAUAUUUAAUUCUUAAUUAUUUUAAAAAAUUAUUUUUUUUAAAAAGUAUAUACCAUGAUUUUGAAUUUAUCAACCUAUUAGCAGCUAAUAAAAGUGAAAAUAAAUGAUAAAAAAUAAAUAUAUACCCUAGAUUGAUGGUAUAAACCCUAGUUAAUAAUCCCAAAAUUAAACUAAAGCAUUCAAUAUCGAAAUUAAAGAAAAAAUAAAUAAAAUUAAAAGUUGGACACAAAAUGGGACAUCAAAUAUGGUACAGUGAAUCACAUUUGGGGUGGGAGGGAGUAAUACUCAUAGGCUUAUUCGUUGCCAUUCUGCUUGGGCUCGAAGGCUUGUGCAUCAUCAGUUGUGUACAAUUUAGCAAAUCAGAAACAAAUACUAGGAUUUCAUAAUUUGGGUUGAUAUUCUUUGAGAAACAAAUAGUUUUCGUCAAAGUAAAGCAUCUCAUGUUGGCUCAAAUGAAUCCACGCCUCAAUCCCAUGUCCCUCUUUGUCGCUCAUGAGCAACACAAAGUUGUUACCCGACGGCCCAUUAAUGUGAAUGCGCGUCCAAAGAGGCGUCCCCCAUCCGAAAUCACAGUCGUGAAAUUGAAACCCACUACAAUCAGUGAAAUUUAUAAUAUUGGUUUCAGGUUGGCUCACAUGUUGUAUCAAUCUUUCCAUAGUAUCUGUGUAGAUAUGGCGUCCAUCCACAUCAGGAGACAGAAUCUCGGCAUGACGAGUUAUGGCAUUUCGAACAGACUCUCCCAUUAGAAGAACAAGUUGAUCAACACCAACGUCAGCGCCGGCUUGUAUGCAUCUCGUCAUUGCUGGCACCGCGAAAUUCCCACAAGCGUGUCUGGACUGAGGUGGGAUUGAUCUCUCCCGCAUGUCCACCGCUUGCAAUAUGACGGACCUUCUGCUUCUGCCGUGGAUGGCGCCAUCCACCCGGAUUAGGGCUUUGGCUAUGACGGCACACACAACACGCACUCCAGAUAAGGCUUUUCCAUCGGUAUGUCUUAUUCUUAAUUUUAGGCUCCUUAAAGUCUCCUUGUUGAACAAAACCCUCUUCAAAGCAACGUUGUGAUCCGCGCCCACACGCUGUUCCCCAAAAUCAGGGGCCUGCUUGCUCACGGACGGAAGCAACGAGGAGAGAUGGAAAGUCGGGUUUACCUUCUUAUCAUGAUACGGAUUGGCGGCGUCCGACCAGGCGACCACGAACGUCCACAGCGACGACCCGUCCAAGACCUUGUGGGAACGCUGAUGGCGAUCGCGGCCCCGCCACACGAGAAACGUGUGAUCUGGAUCGAGAGGAGUGGAUUUUCAGGAGCUUCGUCGCGUCGGAAAUGUUGGUCUGGGAGGAGGUCGCGGAGCUCAUGGAUCUCCAUUUCUGGGCCGAGGUCCAUCAGCUCGACGUCUAGAGCCUCUGCUUCCACGAGCUCCGCUCCCUCAUCGCUGCAAUCAAUCCAACUAUCCUUCUUCAUAAAUCUUCCUGCAAGAGGAUAGAAUUCAACCAGGAUUCUGGCCAGUGAUGCUUCCAAGAUAUGGCUGCCGGCAUCUUCUGCUAUCGAUUCGUAAAACAGAACAACAGCGUUAUUAAUUGGGCGAACAAGCUCAUCUAUAAACGACAACUUGUAAUUCUUGAGGUUUUGAGGGGUUGGGGUGUGUGGUUUUACCAACUUGCUGCUGAUUUUAUUCAUCUUCAUUUUUUUUUUAAUUGAUAGUACUGGAGUGAAUACUUGAUACACACAAAACUAGUGCUCUAUAUAUAAGCAAAAGUUGAAUUAUUAAUUAAUAAAAGUUACAAUAAAUGAUACUUUCUCGGUCCCACUAAUUAAAAGUGACCAGUAUUUCAUUAAAAAGAUGUAGGCAAAUUUAACCCUUAAAAAGAUGUAGGCAUUGUCACUUCUAACUAAUUUACAUUUUUUUCUUAAUUCUCGUGUCGAAAAGUUUUGAGCUACUUAUAAUGGGACGGAGGGAGUAAAAAAAAUUAUACUCCUAACUAGGGCUGACAAAUCAUGCGUAUCAGAUCGUUAUCGAAUCGACACGACAUGAUAAGGACAAACAUGACCACGAUCCAGGCCAAUGACCUCUUGCUUGUAAGAGAGAGAGUUUAAAUAUGAUCUUGCAAUAGAAUUUUAGAUAUAGAUUCUGAGCAUUUGUCAAAUUUCUGUGAACAUGACUAAUAUCAAAAUAGUCAGCAAAAAAUUGAUAAAACCGUGCAUCCCCAGCUCCUCUAAAAUCUCACGAUCUACAAAUUAUAUCAUUUCUAGAUAAGAUUAACAUUACUGAUUUUGCUAGUGGUGAGAGCGAAGUAAAUUAGUGAAGGAAAUCGUAAUUGUAGAGCUGGUGGGUACAACUACCCUUCACCAUUAUUCAAUAAAUAUUAAAUAAUUUGUCCCUACACCAAAAGUGUUGGCACACAUCUUUUAAUAAAAUAAACAAUAUUAUAUAAAAUAAAGGAAUGACAAAGCAAAAUUAAUUUAUUAAGUAAUUAUUAAAUGAUAUGAAUAUGAUUUUUCCUAAAAAAAUAUUGAGUGCGAAUGAGAAUGAAAAUAUAAGAAUGUGUACAAAAAUGUAAAUGCCACUAGGGCUGGUAAACCGGUCGGUUCGAUUAAAAUCGAACCGGUUUACCGGUUAAUCGGAACCGAAUUAGACCCUGUGGAGUAACCGAAAACCGAACCGGUUUAUGGUCCGGUUAACCGAAUAACCGGUCCGAUUUGAUCGGUUAAUUCGGUGAUUUCGAUUUCGGCCAGGAUUAACCGGUUAAUCGGUUAACUGAAUUAAUCCCAAAAAAUUCAAAAUUAAUGAAUUUGUAGGAAGUGGGGUUCGAAUCUUGGCCUUUCAAAGAAAGGAUGAGGUCCUAUCCACUCCACCAACUAAUAUUUUAUGCUUAUUAAGAACACAAAAAUAUUUUAUAAAGACUUAUAAGGUUAUAUUAAAAAAAAAAGAACAAUUUUAAUUCUAAUAAAUACAUUCCCAACCUAAGCAACAAUUUAACCACAAAUCAAUGCUAUAAAAUACUGAACUGGAGUGGACACAAAAUGCAGUGAAACAGAGGUGGCAAAAAGUCAUUUUUAUAGUUUUAUAUUUUCUUUCGUUUGAAGGAUGGUAAUCCAAUCUCGCUUACGAGAAUUAAAGGAAUAAAGUGGUGACUAUAUUCUGUUACACAAUAAAGCUCAACUCAACAAUGAGCCAAUGAGAGGCAUUUUCUGUUACAAAUAUAUAAAGAAAAUUGUUGUCGAAAUUCAAGACACAUGAUGACUAUAUUCUUUAUUUCAACUGGACUAUUUGCACAUGCAAGCAUAAAUCCAUGCAAUGCUUUUGGACAGAGUCACAUAAUUUUGAGAUUUAUCAUAACACUAAUACACAAUAGCAUCAACCUUCGAGCAACUCCUUUUCAUUUCAUCUCAUAUAUUAAGUAUUGCAAUUUUUUUCCCUAUUGUCGCACACAACACAACCGCAUAUUAAACUGUAUAACUACAAAGUAAAGAUUCAUAUUAGCAGCGGAAUGCUGAAUUUCUGCACUGCAGUUGAGACACACUAGCAUACGAAAUUGAAUAGAUUUACAUAAUGGUCAAAGUUAGCAGGAGCAACAUUUAUUUUACCUUUUGAAGGCACUCUCGAAACGGCCAAACUGGUAUUUGUCUAUGGCAAAUUGGACAGCCGGGAUGGUGAAGGAGGCUAUGGCAGCCGGGAUGGCGGGCGGAAGUUGACGAUGGCAAAUGCAGCGGCGGAUGGGAGAAAGGGGCUGGGAGAGCGGUUGCGUCCUGCCGCCUAUAGGCUGAGCAGGGGGGAGCGGUGCCGGUGCCGGUGGGAAGACACGCCAGUGCUGGUGGGAAGAUGCGCCGGACGUCGGAAAAAGAAGGGAGGCACCGCAAAACGUGAAGUGCAGAACAGCAGAAGGGGACUGGGAGAGCGGCUGCGUCCUGCCGCCUGCAGGCUGAGCACGGGGAGNGGGGAGGGGGAAAGAGCGGCGUCGGUGCUGGUGAGAAGACACGCCGGUCGGACGUCGGAAGAAGAAGUGAGGCGCCGCCCGCAAAGCCUGAAGUGCAGAACAGGCGUGAAUUGAGAAGAGAAGUGAGACGCGAGAACCCUGACUAAUUUGAUAUAAAAUAAAAUAUAAAACAAUUAAUUUAAUAAUUUAAGUAAAUCGGUUAAUCGGUUUUACCGGUUAAAUCGAUUAACCGGUUAACAGAGAUAUAACUAACCGAUAACCGAACCAAACCGAAAAAACUGAUUUUUUCGGUUCGGUUACAGUUUUAACCGAAAAACCGACACCGAAUUACCAGCCCUAAAUGCCACACUUAUUAUAAACAAAUCAAUAUUGCAAAAAUACUAUAAUUCACGUGGACGAGGGGACGUUUAGAUCGGAGCACACACAAACCGAAAGGAAAAACUCACACAAAAAAGACUAAACAAAUUACUAGCUGAUGAGGGAUGAAAUAUGUACUGCCCUGAGAUCUCGACAUGUGGCUUACUCGGACAAAUUAGAGAAUCAGAGAAGACAGAAAGUAUGCCAGAGACGGAGCUUGGGACCAAACCCCAAAGACAGAGCUCGGGACCAAACCCCAGAGACAGAGUUCAGGACCAAACCCCAGAGACGAAGCUCAAGACCAGACUCUAGAGACAAAGCCCCGAGGCCAGACUCCAGAGACAGAGCCCGAGGCCCGCAACAAGAGAGAGAAACCAGGACCAUAUUCCAAAGAUGAAGCUCCAGACCAGAUUUCCACGGUUUUGCACUAAAUGACAGAGAUCCCGACGAUGAUCUUACACCUUUAUUGUACCGUAUCCAUCUAGGUCUAAGUAGUUAGUGCGCGGAGCGCGUGAAAUAUUGUAAAAGUACUAUGAUACCCCUCCUUGUAACAACUAUAAAUAGCCUUCUUCCAUAAUGAAAAACACAUGAUAUUCACCACCCAAAACACUAUAAGGCUUUUUAUCUUGUGUUCAUGGAAACUCAGGUGAACCAAAAGAAAUCUCUCACCGUUGAAAUACUUUAGUUUAAUUCUUUACUCAUCAACUGGCGCCGUUUGUGGGAAAAAAGUCUAAGACGUGAGGAAUUAUCGAGCGAUUCUGCUUUUUCGGAGUACUCACCGAAGUUCUCUAUCUUCGAGGGGGUAUUCUGGAUCGAAAGACAUAAAACAUCGACCAAAAUGUCCAAAAAUUAAGCAAUUUAUGUUACCAUUGAAAGGCUGAAUCAGUUGUGGGGUGGAAGUUUACCAGCGUUAUGUUUUAGCUUCGUUUUUACUCUAAAUUUUUGUGUUCUCGUCUUGGAAGCCAUGUUACAUGUGUACUUUUAUAUGAUUAUGAAAUAUGUGCAUUGAUUUGAAAGUUGUAAUCGUUUUAUGAACGUGUGGGCGUCGAUCUGGAGGUCAUCAGUGUGUAUGAAAUGGUAUAUAUAGGUUGAAAAACCUUCCUCGUGCCAAAUGAUCACUCUAUGAUCUAGGUCUGGAAUGAUACAACGCCAUGUACCUUUGCGUGUAUGUGUGGAUCUAAGAAUCUGGAGUAAGUUGAAAUCCGUGUGUUUCUGUGCUUAUAAGUAUUGUUCACCUUCUCGCAGUAGAAAACUUCGAUUGCGUAUUUUUCUGUGCAAAAUUUGGUUAAGCUUUCCAAAACUGAUUUGCUAUCUGUGAAUGUUGAAAUUUUGGUUAAGUUAAUUUCCAUCUCGUGUUCUGCAAAGUUAGUUGCGUGUCUUUUGAUACGAUAUCUGUGAAAUCAUAGAGAUCAUUAUAACGAUUAUACUCACAGUCUGAUGGAAACUCAGAAAAUGGAGGACACCACUAUUCCUCAGAAUCUUGAUAGGUAAUUCAAGAAGGAAGCCAAUAACGUCAAUCUCCAUCAGACGGGAAACGAUAAAGUAACCCAUUCUGUUGGAUUAACACCACCAAGGACAACUAAGCUAGUGCACUCCACUCCCUUGCAGGUUAAUACAGGGUUGUCGUAGACAAGACCCUUCUCACUAUACCAGAGCAACUGUUGUCAUUACUCAACUAUACCUGUAUGAGACAGAUGAUGGGGAUCCCAUUCACUCCCUUGACCCUUGGAGUUUCGCCGGCACCAGGAAUACAUCUCCGUUUAUAGGAAGUUUGGGAACUACGCUACAACUAGUUCUGGAAGGACAUAAUUUGAACAGGUCUGACGUUAUAAGGCGUUUAGGACAAACCGAGCCAUUGUACCCAAAGGAUAUGGAUAACAUUGAAGACGUGGAGGACACUUCAAGUAAAACCUCCAAAAGAACGGAACAUCAGACCAAAGAGACGUUACCUGUAGACCUAGAGUUGUUAAAGGAAAGGGUUUCCCUCAUGCAAAAGCACAUCCGAGAGCUGGAAGCAAUGAUAGAGGGGAAAGAGCACCAUGCGCAGACCGCCAAAGAAGUGAGGGAGAAGGAGAAGAGCCGAAUAGCUGUAUCCAGAAAAAAGGCAGCAUUCUCAUGAUGAGCAACAACAAGAAAUGACGAAGAGGACGGUCAGGAGGAAGAGGAGUGGAUCCAUUCUUCCCACCCCGGGAAGAGCAUAGCACAUAACUCUCGGGCGCUAUACGGAGAAUGACAAAAGAAUAGGCGAACGACAGGGGGACGUGCUUACAUCCCGCGUCUCCAAUCUAGCCCUUUCUUGGAGGAAAUCUUGGUUGACAUCCUACCUAGCCAUUACAAGCCAAUCAAUAUGGAAUAUGAUGGUUCCGAGGAUCUAGAGGUACACAUGGCCAUAUUCGAAACCGUGGUGAUGCUUCACCAAUACUCUGAAGGCAUUAAGUGUCGGUUAUUGUGAGACUCAUAACACCUAUCUAAUUUUAAUAAUACUAGACUGAAGCAUAAAUUGGAUUAAUUGUUUAUUGAUCUGAUUCUUGAACUGAACCUUUAUCAAAUUCAGUCUAGUGCUCACUCUCAAACUUGAAACUCUUAGACUGAAAUUUUGUGUCAUAUCCUUAGUAUCAGUCAAGAUUACUUCAGUUUAUGAAAGUGAGUUUUUCAAAAGAAGCUUUAAAAGUUUUAAAAGUCAAAAUUAGUCUUCUGGUGUAUUCCCUCCCCCCCAAUACACCAGUUCCGUAACCCUCAUGGGCCCAACAUUGUGAACUUGCAAAUAUAUUAUUUUUGAAAUUACAAUAUAUGGUAUUGUAGAAUUACGUUGAUAUUGGUACUUGAUUAAAUUUAAUGAUUUUGUGUGAAUUGAUUUGUCUGAUUAGUACUGCGUUUAAAACUAAAGAAUUGAGAAAAACACAUUUGGUCUUUUUGAAUAAAUCUAUAUAAAAUUAGCGAUUGCAAGUAUAAUGUGACUCAUAACAUAUAUCAAUUAAAUAAAAUUGGUAUCAAUUAUAAAUGUGAGAAUUUAUUGUUAACGAGUGAUGGUAAAGUAUAAAAUUUGAAAAUCAAUAUAAAAAAAAGGAAAAGUUUAGUUAAUCAGGUAAUUAAGUUGAUUUUCAAAUUAAUUCUAUUGAUCUAAACCCUUAAACUUCAAUCAUAUUGGAUUGUCAAGCUAUUUGAUUAUAUGUCAUUCAAAUUUGAAAUUUUCACUUUUUAUAUUCAAUUUAUCCAGAAUCAUCUAUUGAUUUCUGAUUAAAUUGAUAUGAAUUUAAAAAGUAUAUUCACAAACUUUAUGUAUAUAAGAAAGCAUUUUAAAUUUUUUUUAUGAAGCUAAUAUAUUUUUUUGCCUUCUUUGUAUAACUUCAAUGCGUAUAUUUUUUUUCAUUUAAUCAAGCUCUUAUAUAAAUUUAUAUGUACAAUAUUAUAUCAUGAAAUAAAAUGAUCCUGUCACAUAUGCGUAGGUGAUAGACUAGUUAUGAUAAUUUAGUAUAACGAUCAUCUUCAAGAGGUUCAUGAAGAUGUAAUUGAUUUCCAAUUAUUAACUAUAUAUGACGGAAUAUACAUAUAAUUAAUACAAUCCAAAUUAUUUAUUUUCUUUAAUUACUCAAAUAUUAUCUAUCUAUCUUUAAACUUUAUCAUAUUAAAAAAAAAAGCAUAAAUUAGGGUGCUACGUAUACAUAUAGAAACAAACAUUAAACAUAUCUGAUUGAUUUUCAUUUAAAUACAUAUUUGAUCACAUACAAUGGAUACAUUUAUUCGAAGAGCAUAUAGAGGCUUAUCCACCUUCAUACAUUAAAAUUACUGAUAGGCGACAUGAGACCACACGCAAUAACAUAAACACGAGACAACAUACAACAUGAACUUGAUAAUUAACUUUUUCACUUUCCUGACUUAUCUCCAAUCGCAUCGUCAUGGUCAUCAGCAUCUAUAAGGAUAUCAGGUUUUGGCUCAAAAUCUUUGCAGAAGAUUUCUCACUUGUGGCUUUGUGACCAUCCUCAUUGGAAUUGUCAUGAUUAAUUAUAUAGAAAGAAAUUGGGUCUUGGCUCAAAAUCUUUUACAGAAGAUUCCUCAC
Molecule: long non-coding RNA, 24124 nt
Filed under: Salvia miltiorrhiza (redroot sage)
Lineage: Eukaryota; Viridiplantae; Streptophyta; Magnoliopsida; Lamiales; Lamiaceae
Description: long non-coding RNA (SMIL_LNC005020)
Source: RNAcentral